GCGCCCAUGAUGUAACGGCGAGCCUACUGCCUUGCCAUGGCGGAUGUGCGGGUUCGAUUCCCGCUGGGCGCU
RNAcentral lists this transfer RNA (72 nucleotides) under Planctomycetaceae bacterium. RNAcentral describes it as "tRNA-Gly". It matches the Rfam family "tRNA". From Rfam's summary of the family: Transfer RNA (tRNA) molecules are approximately 80 nucleotides in length. Lineage: Bacteria; Pseudomonadati; Planctomycetota; Planctomycetia; Planctomycetales; Planctomycetaceae. RNAcentral also lists the same sequence under 1 other name. The record is from RNAcentral.